RNAcentral lists this long non-coding RNA (5007 nucleotides) under Vigna radiata. RNAcentral's name for it is "long non-coding RNA (VRAD_LNC000213)". Lineage: Eukaryota; Viridiplantae; Streptophyta; Magnoliopsida; Fabales; Fabaceae. The record is from RNAcentral.
UUGGUGACUGUGAAGCUGAAGUUGUAUAUUAAUUGGGUUUUGGUUUGAGCAUUAAACACACAGAAACUGAGAUGGCUAGAACCACUCUUUCUUCCCUGUCUUUAUUUUUCUGUAUUCUCCUCAUAAUCACCUUCACUUUCUUCAUGCUACCUAUUCCAGUAAGAGCAGGUUUGUCUCUGUCAUUCAAUCAUCCAAUCCUUUACGAAUAAUAGAUUUUGUAAGAUUAGAUUAGUUUUUAAAUUUAUUUUUAAUCAUAUAAUCAUAAUGACUUUGUAUGUGUAAAAGUAAGAUUUCUGAAAACUGUUAUGAUAUGAAUUUGCAGAUCUGAAAAACAGGGGUCCCAAGCCAAGAUCACCUCCAUCACCCACUAGUAGCUGGCCCGGACAUCCUGGUCAUCCUCCAUCCAACCAUGGCUGAAAUAUUACCACAAAUAGUAAGGGCUUCAAGUUUUCUUGGAUUCUCAUUUUGGUUAUCAACUUUUACUGUAUUAGGUUUUAUGUUAUAAAUAACACUGUGUAAGACCACGAAAGGAUUUACCCGUCCAUGUUAUGGAAUAUUAUAGAUUAUAAGGAAAUUAAAACCUUUUUAUUAUUCAUCUUAAUUUUUACUGGGAUUUUAGCAAACAAUUACUAAAAGUAUGGUUAGGAAUUGUAUAAUUAUUCACAAUAGUUUUGUGCAUUCCUUCUUUCAAUAAUUGAAACAAUUACUAAAUAUGAGUAUGUAUUUACUAUUUACGUUAAUAAAAAAUUAAAAAUAUAUUAGAAGAUUUCAAAAUAAUUAGUUAUAUUAAAUUUUAUAAUAUUUUAAUUACAGAUAAAGGAUUAAUUUUAAAGCUAUUGUUUAGAGAUAUUGGAUUAUUUUGAUCCAAAACAAAUUUAGAAAAUGUUUUCAAUUUGAAAAUCAAGAAUCAAAUAAUAAAUUAUGAAAUCAAUUUAGCAUUACGAAGAAAAAUAUCAUUACAUUAAAAAACAUUACAGAUAUAUACAUAAGUAGGAUUGCAUAAGAAUUUAAUGAAUUACAUCAAUUCCAACAUUAAGGAGUGUGAGGAAUAAUGUAUGUGGAUUGUAAUCAGUGGUACAUAUGAACUCAUAGGAAUAAUAUAUUUUUUAGAAAAGAAAAGUUGGAUGCUGAAAAGAUAUUUACAUUAGAAACCCUUAAGACAUGGGAUUGAAUUACCAAUAAGAACUCAAAAGCUAAAUUCUCUUAUUCGGAUUAAUUUUUUGCACAUCGAUAUGAAUUUAAAGUAUAUAUCUAGCUAGCUAUCUAAAGGGGGAAAAUAGAGUGGUGUAACUUUGUUUGGAUUAUAUCAACAAUAAGAGAGCAAUGAGAUAAAUCUAAGUAAAAGUUUUAUAUGGGUGCUAUCUAGUUAGCUUUUUCAUAACAGCAUGUGACUCUUUUUGGUCAAAUAGAUGAAUCUAUGAUCCAAGACAAAAUCAUGGUUCAAAAGAUUUCUUUUUAACCUUUUUCAAACAUUUGAUUUAAACUAUCUUUUGUAGAUAUGAUUUGACGAAUAACAAUUAAGAUGCUCACACUCUUAUUUGGAUCAUACUAAAAUAUUCUUUUAAAUCAAAUUUGACAUUCCUAAAGAAGAUAUUAUUUCUCUAAUUUCAUAAAUUCCACGUGAAAGCAAUCCACGUCUCCUCCAUAGCAUAUUCCCUUUAUGUUAUUUACUCGGUCAUUCGUGUUGUUCUAUGAGGGUUUCCAAGACUACCAAUCAAUUUUUAGUAUGAAAUUUGGUCUUAGGUACAAAGUAUAAGGAUGGCUAGAAGUCCUUUUUUGUGCUAUUGCCUAAAUACCUUAUUGCUUUUUAUAGCUUUAGGGACAAGUGGUGGCAUGUCUUCCAUUAUUUAUAAUUAAUAUUAUGUUGCAUAAUAUAUAUAGUGAAGAAGACCUACCACUUCCUCAUUCAUAUCAUGUAUUGGAAGUUUCACAGAAAGCUCAACAUGUUAAAUAUGAUGAAAACUAUAUACAUAAUUAAUCCUUUGUUUUAAAUACACAUAUAGAAUUUUCUAUUUAUAAUAGAAAAAAUAUGAGUUAAAUUCAAAAUACAAAUAAAAAUUAAUAACAAAUAAUUAAACACAAAAGAUAAAGAUAAAAAAUAAAUAUAAAAUAAAUAUAAUAUAUCUAACACAACUUAUUAUAAAGUGGCUGAUUACGAACAAGCAUCACAGAAAUCUGGUUUCAGCCUUCAAAAUACUCUGGUAUGGCUUGGAUCAGAGUUUCUUCUAAGUUUGUAUCUUUCCUUGUUCUGUUAGCAAUGGCAUUUUCUUUCUUUGCACAGCUUACUUCAGUUAGUGCAGGUUUGUGUAGCUACUACCUCUUUAAAAUAUGCAAACACAUAUGAACAACAUGUGUUUAGAAUUGUAAGAUCAUUAUCACUGUCAUUAGUGUUUGGUAGAUGAUGAUGAUGAAUUAAUUAGUGCAUGAAAGUGUUUAGCACGUAAAGUAAAAGUACAUGUUGUUGCAGGUAGAAGCAUAUUAGGUAUCUUGAAAAGUUUAUAAUUAACGUGAUAGCUGUGAUCUUGAUUUGCAGAUCCGAAAGUGAGAAAAUUGGGUGUGAUGCCAAGUCCACCUCCUUCACCUGCGCGUAAUCCAUCAUGGCGUACUCUACCUCCUCGUCUUCCUCCUCCAUCCAUUUAAAUUUUCAUUUUCUGCUUAUAUCUUGUCAUUGUUAGUGAAACCAAACUGAGUAUUUGGUCAGUCUUCUUGUGUUUCGUCUGUGUUUUGUAAUAAGCCAGGUUUCAGGCACCUUUUGUUAGUUUUGUAUUGUUUUCUGCAUAAUGUACGUUGUUCAGCAUAGUAUUUUACUGUUUGGUCUGUGUGUUGCACCCCUUUAAUAUAUAAUUAUCUUCUUUGUUGGGAAAAAUAUAUUAGGUUUUCUCUAUAAAUUACACCACCAACAUAUUUAUUUGGGAGACUGCUUGGAGAACAAAUAUGUAUCAAAAUAUAAUAUGAAAUUCUCAGAAAUAGAACGACGAGAAGCGGGAGACAACAUCAUUCAAAAGAUGUACAAAAUGGACGAAAGACCGAGUAAAACCCAUCUUCGUUUUUGGAGUCAUUAAAUCCAACUUUUGCCCAUAACAUUAUGAUAAUCUGCAUAUUAAUUGGUGUUACAAUCUUUUUAAAUGCUUAGUUAAAGGAAAAUCAUUAAAUAAUAAUUCAUUUUAAAGACUAAAAGUAAAUAAUGUUGUUAUCAUUAGUAGUUGUCGUUAUCAUUUAUUUAGUAUACUGGGAUUUAACACAAAUUUCACAUGCAGACUUGUUAAUCUUCAUAACAGCAUUAAUGGGGUAGCAUCAAACACUUAGAAAAGUUAAGUCAGAGAAUAAUAUUUUAGCUAAGUGGGUCGUCCACCAGCACCCUUUUUUAUUUAACUUUAUUAACAACCAAUCAUUAUAUUUAUCUGUGCCUUUCCUUUCCAAUAAUUUUGGAUGAUGACAGUCAUCCAUUCCUAUUAUCGAGAGAGAGUGUAGGGCAUUUCAUUAAUUUAAAUGGAAAUCAGUAUAAUUCUUAAACAACCUUUAAUAUCAGUAACCAAUUAUCACCUUCACUCAAAUGCCAUUAAAAUUAGACUCGUUCUUUUCAUCACUCCAAGAGUAUCAUUCUUAAACAUGACACUCAUUAUGCUGGAGCUAUUUAAGUUUAAAAUUAUGAUGUACAAAAUUUAUUUUAGGUUUGUUUAUGGAAGCCUUUGCAUAGGAUAAAUAUCCUAAUGUAGAGUUAUGUAUUAACUAUUAUCUAAUUUUUCGUAAAUUGAUAUAAAUAUAUAUAACUAUGAGUUCAUGAUAGGUGUCAUAAAGAAAAGUUGUUUUACAUUGAGAGUUAAAGUGUUUAUAAUCAAAAUUUGUAAAAAAGAUUGUUAUUAUCAUAAUGACCAGGAAGUUUGAUGUGCAUGUAUUAAGUGCGAUUCUACAGCAAUUUUGGAGGUAAGAGUUAUGAAGGUUCAUCUCUACAAACAUGAUUUCAAGUCUAAUUAUUUGAUUUGGACGGAUCAUGGUUAAUUUAGGCUAAAAGGGGAUUUAGAUAAUAGUUUAACUUGGAUGGGUGUGAAAAAGGAUGAUGAACAAAAUGACCAAUUUAUGUCAAUGUAAGACAUGGUGCAUGAUGUUCUUACACAAAUGAGGUGUGCCAAAUAUCGAACUAAGAUAACAUGAAAGAACUCUAAAUGAAAAAAACUCAGAUUUUAUAAUAUUUAGUUGGAUGCAAAUAAGUCUAUGUAUAAAGGGAUAUCAAACUCCAAAUUAUCAGUGUCAGAUCAUUAGCUUGUAAGUCCAAUUGAAAUAUUUCUAAGCGAUACUUAAAUUUUAUUGCAAAAAAUUUAUGGAUAAAUUUAUAUGUAAUUACUAUGAAUAAAUCCAUAUAUAAUUAUUUACGAAUUUAUUUGUAAGUAACUAUUGCUAUGACAUUUUACUUACUUGUAAAAAAUUUGUAAAUAAGAUUUUAUUUAUGGAUUUUAUGACUUAUCUAUAAAUUUUGUUUUUGGAGGUAAUGUUCUUUUUUUUUUUUUUUUGCUUAUAGUGAUAGCUUAAUAACAUUACCUGGAACUUUCCUUUUAGAAUAGCUUUUAUGGAUUGGCCAUAAGAAAAAAAAAGUACAAGAUAUUAAUUUUAUUAGAUUCUUUAAAAAAGUUGAUAAAUAAUUCAUAAUAUAAUAUGAUGAUGCAAACGUUAAAAACAAAAGCAAGUUAUUUUUCUGUUUAUUUUUGUUACCAAAACGCGUUACCUUUAUUAUCUUUAUUGACCUAAUUUCUAUAAGAAAUUUCACUGAAAGCUCAAAAAGAUGGCAAAUUUAGGGUUGGUGACUGUGAAGCAGAAGUUGUAUAUUAAUUGGGUUUUGGUUUGAGAAUUAAACACACAAAAACUGAGAUGGCUAGAACCACUCUUUCUUCCCUGUCUUUAUUUUUCUGUAUUCUCCUCAUAAUUACCUUCAGUUUCUUCGUGCAACCAAUUCCAGUAAGAACAGGUUUGUCUCUGUUACUGAAUCAUCCAAAACGUAAAUUAAAGAGGAGA